CGGGAUGUAGCUCAACUUGGCAGAGCUAUGGACUGUAGAUCCAUCGGUUGCCGGUUCAAAUCCGGCCAUCCCGACCA
This 77-nucleotide transfer RNA is filed under the name Thermoplasmata archaeon M9B2D. RNAcentral describes it as "tRNA-Tyr". It matches the Rfam family "tRNA". From Rfam's summary of the family: Transfer RNA (tRNA) molecules are approximately 80 nucleotides in length. The record is from RNAcentral. RNAcentral also lists the same sequence under 3 other names. Lineage: Archaea; Methanobacteriati; Thermoplasmatota; Thermoplasmata.